CAGUACAGUCCCACUCCAAACUGGCUGGCGAGGGGGAUCUUAGGCACCUGUGGAGCGCGUGGCUGCCAAGGGUUCUCUCGAAUUCCAGAGGCUCCUGAUCCAGGAGCAUAGGGUUCUCCAGGAUGAACACCCUGCUGACAUCCUGACCGGGGGGCCACUCCUGUGACCAGGAGGAGUUUGUUAAAGCCCCUCUCCUGAUCAGUGAAGGGACUGGCCAGAAGUGGGGAGGGAGAAGGCAAGCAACCUGCUGGAGACAAGACUCUGGGGUCUCCAGGACCAGCAGGAGCCCAGAUGCCAGAGGUUGAUGGGCUGUCCCGGGGCUCCACCCUGGGCCAACCUCUCCACUCAAAGAGACCUCCUGCAGCCCCUCCCACCUUCCGUGGUCUGAUCCCGCCUAAUGGGCCCAUCCGGCUGCCCGCACCAGUAGGGACACUGAUCCCGUGUGUCCUCGCUGCCACCGCUCCUGGACUCCUCACCACCCCGGCCCCACGCAGCUUCAACCCUCAAGCCCCGGCCUGGGCUCUUGGCCAGGCCUGACGCGGAGGGGAUCGGAGAAAUGGGGCGCGGGCUCUCAGAUGACUGCAUGAUGGACCAGGCCUCAGGAGUCAGCCGGAGGACCCCAACCCCCAAAUCACAGUCCAGAUCUCUUCCCUCCCCAACCUUCGCCGCCCCA
This is a long non-coding RNA of Lutra lutra (Eurasian river otter), 673 nucleotides long. RefSeq lists it as uncharacterized. NCBI's taxonomy places the organism in Eukaryota, Metazoa, Chordata, Mammalia, Carnivora, Mustelidae. The record is from RefSeq and is a predicted model, not a curated record. The transcript has 3 exons.